Nerophis ophidion (straightnose pipefish) is the source of this 463-nucleotide long non-coding RNA. RefSeq lists it as uncharacterized. NCBI's taxonomy places the organism in Eukaryota, Metazoa, Chordata, Actinopteri, Syngnathiformes, Syngnathidae. The record is from RefSeq and is a predicted model, not a curated record. The transcript has 4 exons.
GACUCGGCGAAGGAGGUUUAUGAAAAAAAUAGGACGAUACGAAUGGCGACCAUGCGCCCAUUAAGUCAGUAGUAUGGUGUUCAUUAAGUUGAUAUCCAACUUAAAAAUCUAUAAGUGGAGCUUGAAGAACAUGUUUCAGUUGCAGCAUAUUAUUGGACGUCCAUUCUGAGCUCCAAAUUCUGGGAGGGCCUACUGACAUCACCUACAGAAGAUCGGAAGCAAUUUCAUACGAGGUGGAAUUCCAAGUUGUUCGAACACUAAACCGUGGGGCUCCUGAGGGUGAUGUUAACCUGCAUUCUUCAGUCAUUCCAAUCCAAAGGUUCCAGCAAGCCCAACAAACCCACGAGGGACAAGCGGUAGAACAUGGAUGGAUGGAUGAAAUGAUUUGUUUGUUCUUUUUAAGGAAAAUUAUUAUUUUUUAUUUUUUUGGAAAACAUUUUUAUAGUGGCUCAUUGGUUGUUAC